UACGUAGGGGGCAAGCGUUGUCCGGAAUCAUUGGGCGUAAAGCGCGUGUAGGCGGUCCGGUAAGUCCGCUGUGAAAGUCGGGGGCUCAACCCUCGGAUGCCGGUGGAUACUGUCGGGCUUGAGUACGGAAGAGGCGAGUGGAAUUCCUGGUGUAGCGGUGAAAUGCGUAGAUAUCGGGAGGAACACCAGUGGCGAAGGCGAUCAUCUGGGGUUGUUCUGACACUGAGGAGCGAAAGCUAGGGGAGCAAACGGG
Molecule: ribosomal RNA, 253 nt
Filed under: uncultured bacterium
Lineage: Bacteria
Description: partial 16S ribosomal RNA
Rfam family: Bacterial small subunit ribosomal RNA
Source: RNAcentral